GAAUUGUAUGAAGAAAAGGUUAGUACUCCACUUGACAAGGAUGGAAGAGGCCCUUGGGCCUAACACCCAUACGGUUAAGAUAUUGCCACCUACUUUGGGGCAUCUGACCAAUGUACUAU
This 119-nucleotide non-coding RNA is filed under the name Nannospalax galili (Upper Galilee mountains blind mole rat). Lineage: Eukaryota; Metazoa; Chordata; Mammalia; Rodentia; Spalacidae. The record is from RNAcentral.